GUCUUGCUCCUUAUGUAGGAGUUUACUAGGGCUGCACCUGGGAUUGGCUUUCUCUGCCAGGCCUUUUCUAUUAUCUAAUUCAGCUGUAAGGAAAUUUAGAGGAAGAGUCAUUAAAGAAGUAUUUUUAAAAUGGCCAUAUACCAGCUGGGAAACAUUGAGAACCUGUUUGCAUUUCUCAUCUCCUCUUCCGUGGACAUCAUGAAUUCCAAGCCAAGCUUCAUAAUCUUUCAAGUCUCUGUUUUGA
This 244-nucleotide long non-coding RNA is filed under the name Homo sapiens (human). RNAcentral describes it as "HSALNT0124972". Lineage: Eukaryota; Metazoa; Chordata; Mammalia; Primates; Hominidae. The record is from RNAcentral.